Molecule: long non-coding RNA, 583 nt
Filed under: Nicotiana benthamiana
Lineage: Eukaryota; Viridiplantae; Streptophyta; Magnoliopsida; Solanales; Solanaceae
Description: long non-coding RNA (NBEN_LNC026719)
Source: RNAcentral
GAUUUUUCUCCUCCAACUCGCUCUCUCUCUCAAUGUCAGUUUCUUUCCAUGAAUACAACCAUGAUUCUCCACUGAUUAAUCUCUGUUGUCUCGCAAAAUUUUCAACAGAAAUAACUUCAGGUUCAAUCCUAUCGCCGGGGCGAAGAGUGAUGUUGUAGCUUUUGGUGGUUUGAGGCCGCGGAACCGCGAAUAGUACCCCAUUUAGCAGCGUUUUUGGGCAGCGUUUUUGAAUGAAAUUGGAGUUGGUUGAAGGUGUUUCAGUGAAUUGUAACGAAGCUGCCAUUGUUGAGACUCUGAAGCAGAAAUCUUUCGGAGUGAGGAUUUUGGAUGGAAGUCAAAUCGGUCCAGUUAUUUAGAGAAAUUUUAUCUCGGCUCUCUCAUGAGAUGAUAUUGGGGUUGUUCUUGAACAAAGAUGACGGAGUUUGGGGCUGAGCAACUUGAAGAUUCUGUUAAUAUAUUUUUAAUGUAUUUCUAUGUAUCUUAUUGUAUUUUCAUGUAUUUUAUUGCAUUCAUUGUCCUUUUUUUUCAUUGUAUUUCAAUUUAUAUUGUUGUAUUAUAUGUAUUUUAUGGUAUUCAUUGUCUC